AUACAUUUAAAUUUCUUUAUUAAUUUUUUAUAUAUAAUUUAUAUUAAAUAUAAAAAUAUAUUUUUUAAAUAAAAAGACGAUAAGACCCUAUUAAAUUUUACUUAUAGUUUAACUGGGGAAGUUUUAAAAAUAAAAUUUUUUAUAAAAAUAAAAAUAAAUCUAAUAAAAUUAAAAUUAAAUUAAAUUACUAUAGGGAUAACAGCAUUAUAUUUUUUAAAAGUUCAUAUUAAAAAAAAUGAUUGUGACCUCGAUGUUGAAUUAUAUUUUCUUUAUUAAUGCAAUAAUUAUAAAAGUAGAUCUGUUCGAUCUUUAAAAUAUUACAUGAUUUGAGUUCAAACCGGUGUAAACCAGGUUGGUUUCUAUCUUUUUAUAAAUUCAUAUAUAUAUGUAUAUAUAUAUAUAUAUAAAUUUUUCAAGUACGAAAGGAAAAAAAAAUUUUUAUUUUAAUUAAUUAGCAAUUAAUAUGCAUUAGAUUUAGAAUCUAAAUAAACUAUUAUU
This 498-nucleotide unclassified non-coding RNA is filed under the name Anelosimus eximius. RNAcentral's name for it is "partial contains 16S ribosomal RNA and tRNA-Leu (trnL)". The stretch from base 71 to 368 matches the Rfam family "Bacterial large subunit ribosomal RNA", at positions 2074 to 2646 of the family's 2925-position model. Lineage: Eukaryota; Metazoa; Arthropoda; Arachnida; Araneae; Theridiidae. The record is from RNAcentral.